UGGGGAAUAUUGGACAAUGGGGGAAACCCUGAUCCAGCCAUGCCGCGUGAGUGAAGAAGGCCUUCGGGUUGUAAAGCUCUUUCGGCGGGGACGAUGAUGACGGUACCCGCAUAAGAAGCCCCGGCAAACUUCGUGCCAGCAGCCGCGGUAAUACGAAGGGGGCUAGCGUUGUUCGGAAUUACUGGGCGUAAAGCGCGCGUAGGCGGUGAUCUUUGUCAGAGGUGAAAGCCUGGGGCUCAACUCCAGAAUUGCCUUUGAAACGGGAUCGCUUGAGUCCGAGAGAGGAUGGCGGAAUUCCUAGUGUAGAGGUGAAAUUCGUAGAUAUUAGGAAGAACACCGGUGGCGAAGGCGGCCAUCUGGCUCGGUACUGACGCUCAGGCGCGAAAGCGUGGGGAGCAAACAGGAUUAGAUACCCUGGUAGUCCACGCCGUAAACUAUGAAUGCUAGUUGUUGGGAGGUUUACCUCUCAGUGACGCAGCUAACGCGUUAAGCAUUCCGCCUGGGGAGUACGGUCGCAAGA
This 520-nucleotide ribosomal RNA is filed under the name uncultured bacterium. Its description in RNAcentral is "bacterial SSU rRNA". It matches the Rfam family "Bacterial small subunit ribosomal RNA", at positions 355 to 893 of the family's 1533-position model. The record is from RNAcentral.